UUGAACGCUGGCGGAAUGCUUUACACAUGCAAGUCGGGCGGCAGCGCGGGGGCAACCCUGGCGGCGAGCGGCGAACGGGUGAGUAACAUAUCGGAACGUACCCAGACGUGGGGGACAACUAGUCGAAAGACUAGCUAAUACCGCAUACGUCCUGAGGGAGAAAGCGGGGGAUCGCAAGACCUCGCGCGUUUGGAGCGGCCGAUAUCUGAUUAGCUAGAUGGUGGGGUAAAGGCCCACCAUGGCGACGAUCAGUAGCUGGUCUGAGAGGAUGGUCAGCCACACUGGAACUGAGACACGGUCCAGACUCCUACGGGAGGCAGCAGUGGGGAAUUUUGGACAAUGGGGGAAACCCUGAUCCAGCCAUUCCGCGUGAGUGAAGAAGGCCUUCGGGUUGUAAAGCCCUUUCGGCAGGAACGAAACGGCGGAAUCUAAUACAUUCCACUAAUGACGGUACCUGAAGAAGAAGCACCGGCUAACUACGU
This 482-nucleotide ribosomal RNA is filed under the name uncultured bacterium. RNAcentral describes it as "bacterial SSU rRNA". It matches the Rfam family "Bacterial small subunit ribosomal RNA", at positions 29 to 506 of the family's 1533-position model. The record is from RNAcentral.